Molecule: non-coding RNA, 289 nt
Organism: Cinara cedri
Lineage: Eukaryota; Metazoa; Arthropoda; Insecta; Hemiptera; Aphididae
Source: the annotation of a GenBank genome assembly
UGUAUUUCCUCACGUCGAUUUCCUUUCGGAAAAUCUGCUACACGUAAAAAUCCGAGCAAGUCUUAUGGUUUACUAUAAGCUUCUUCGCACCACUGAGAAUCUAAAAUUGACUGCAUAUUCCAAUCAUGUUUAGUGUAACAAGUCCCGAAACCUAGUUUAUAGCACUCACAUGUAACGACGCCUUGAUUGAGGAUUCAGGAUUUGUAUCAUAUUUUUUAAGAUAUUCUAGAGUAACAAUUAUACAAAUCUAAAGUUCUUUGAAAGUAAUAAGUGAAUCUUGUUGAUCGAC